GACGAACGCUGGCGGCGUGCUUAACACAUGCAAGUCGAACGGAAAGGCCUGUCCUUCCUUGUGUUGGACGGGUACUCGAGUGGCGAACGGGUGAGUAACACGUGAGUGAUCUGCCCCCAACUUGGGUAUAAGCCUGGGAAACUGGGUCUAAUUCCCGAUAGGACUGCAGGGUGGUGCCUGUGGUGGAAAACGAUUUUCUAGUGGUUGGGGAUGAGCUCGCGGCCUAUCAGCUUGUUGGUGGGGUAAUGGCCUACCAAGGCGGCGACGGGUAGCCGGCCUGAGAGGGUGGACGGCCACAUUGGGACUGAGAUACGGCCCAGACUCCUACGGGAGGCAGCAGUGGGGAAUAUUGCACAAUGGGCGGAAGCCUGAGGCAGCGACGCCGCGUGGGGGAUGACGGCCUUCGGGUUGUAAACUCCUUUCGACCGCGAGGAAGCCGCCUGGUUGGAAGGGUGGUGACGGUAGUGGGAGAAGAAGCACCGGCUAACUACGUG
Molecule: ribosomal RNA, 494 nt
Filed under: uncultured bacterium
Lineage: Bacteria
Description: partial 16S ribosomal RNA
Rfam family: Bacterial small subunit ribosomal RNA
Source: RNAcentral